UGGAUAGUAUUAUUAAUGAAAUUUAACGGAUUUGGCGGCAAGAUAGCCACUUAGAGGAACCUGCCCUGUAAACGAUGAGCCACGAUUAACCUUACUUUUACUAGAAUCCAGUUUGUAUACCGCUGUUGUCAGUUAGUUUCCUUAGAAAACUUUCGUACAUGAUAAAUUCAAUGACUUCAAGUAAAGGUGCAGCUUAUGUAAAAGAUAGAGGUGGGUUACAAUUAAAAGGAUAAUAUGGAUAAAGUAAAGAAAAAACUUUUGAAGGUGGAUUUAAUAGUAAAGUUUAAUAAGACUUGAUUAGAGCUCUAUCUUGUGUACACACCGCCCGUCGCUCGCGGGA
Molecule: ribosomal RNA, 340 nt
Rfam family: Microsporidia small subunit ribosomal RNA